GGGAAAUGUAGUUACUGCGUGGGCUGCAGUUUAAGAGCAGAACGCUGAGGGAGGGAAGGGGGCAUUUUCUGCUCAUUAUCUGUUACAGGGCUCGUCACCAUGAGUUAUAUACAUUUAUAACCUGCUGAUUAUUAAUGCAGUAAUGUUACAGUUAGAUAACUCUGUGUGCAGAUUUUGCCGUGGUGCAGUCCUGGUAGCCAAGCCUUCGGCUCCCCCGCCAUGAGAAGCCUCGUGUGCUGCUGUGCGGAAAUAAAAUACCACAACUUAAUUCUCGUAAUAUUACGCCUGUAUUCUCGUAAUAUUACAACGUUAAUCUCGUAAUAUUGCGUAAUAUGGCCGUCGUACCUAAAGUAGCCAAAAGGGCCCGUAUGGGAACCGGAAUGUUUUGUCCACCUUGGCUCCAAAUAGGGCUGUGAUGACGAUGAUGAUGUACCACAUCAGGGUCAGUGAUGGGACCAGUAAUGUAAAAUAUUUUACACUGCACAUCAGGCCCGGAGAGGACCCAUGUGAGAUUAAGCAAGGAAUUAAGACACAGAGUGAAUGA
RNAcentral lists this long non-coding RNA (544 nucleotides) under Astyanax mexicanus (Mexican tetra). Its description in RNAcentral is "lncRNA (ENSAMXG00005021339.1)". The record is from RNAcentral. Lineage: Eukaryota; Metazoa; Chordata; Actinopteri; Characiformes; Acestrorhamphidae.